UCUCAGCUGCUUCAUUUAUGAAGCAAUGAAGUAGCUUGGAACUACACGUCAUUUCACUAUGACAGUAUAACUGUUAUAAAAUACAAUCACAACACCUAUUGCGUGAAGUGGUGGUGGUCUUUCAAGAAGGUGAAAUGGCUACUUAUG
RNAcentral lists this non-coding RNA (147 nucleotides) under unclassified sequences. Its description in RNAcentral is "RT-16 RNA". It matches the Rfam family "RT-16 RNA". Rfam says of the family: candidate division DUSEL4 (Archaea). Nearby to self-splicing intron genes The record is from Rfam by way of RNAcentral.